Molecule: transfer-messenger RNA, 376 nt
Filed under: uncultured Roseburia sp.
Lineage: Bacteria; Bacillati; Bacillota; Clostridia; Lachnospirales; Lachnospiraceae
Rfam family: transfer-messenger RNA
About the family: Bacterial tmRNA, also known as 10Sa RNA or SsrA, is named for its dual tRNA and mRNA-like properties. Its role is to liberate the mRNA from a stalled ribosome.
Source: RNAcentral
GGGCUUGUAAAGGUUUCGACAGGGGUCGUAAAGCUGGAGAAGCGAGCCGCACGGGAUGCGUGAAAUUCCAACAUUAAAAUUAAACGCUGAAGACAAUUUAGCGGUUGCAGCCUAAGCUGUAACUAGCUGCCUGUAUGGCAGCAGUCUGACCUAGAGCACCUGCACUUUAGCAAUCAGGCUUCGACGAUGCAGGAAACGAUACGGGCAAAGCUUUGAGCCCGCAGGCGUAUGAUGAAGCUACUGAACCCGGAAUUGUGCUUAUGCAAGUCCGGCAGAGGGAAUGCGCCGCCGUAAGGCGGCAGAAACCAUAAGCUACGCUCGUAGAAGUACAGUGGCUCGGCUUUUGGACAGGGGUUCGAUUCCCCUCAGGUCCACU